UGGCGGACGGGUGAGUAACGCGUAAGAACCUAUCCCUAGGCGGGGGACAACCACUGGAAACGGUGGCUAAUACCCCAUGUGCUGAGGAGCAAAAGGAGGAAUCCACCCAGGGAGGGGCUUGCGUCUGAUUAGCUAGUUGGCGGGGUAACGGCCCACCAAGUCUGCGAUCAGUAACUGGUGUGAGAGCACGACCAGUCACACGGGCACUGAGACACGGGCCCG
This 222-nucleotide ribosomal RNA is filed under the name uncultured bacterium. RNAcentral's name for it is "partial 16S ribosomal RNA". It matches the Rfam family "Bacterial small subunit ribosomal RNA", at positions 96 to 334 of the family's 1533-position model. The record is from RNAcentral.